UAAAUGACGAGGAACGGACGAAGUAGACUGUUUAUCCCUUUUUGAGAGAGCCGGUGGUUGCUGCAAAUCGGUAAAUAUAAACGGUGCGAAUUACAUCCUGGAGUCAAGUCACGCAGGAAAUGGCGUGAACGGUUAAAGCCGUUAUGGAAUGAAGUGAAAAGUUGGGUGGUACCACGUUUAAACACGUCCCUUCG
This 194-nucleotide non-coding RNA is filed under the name Listeria aquatica. Its description in RNAcentral is "T-box sequence". It matches the Rfam family "T-box leader". From Rfam's summary of the family: Uncharged tRNA acts as the effector for transcription antitermination of genes in the T-box leader family. T-boxes are found upstream of many aminoacyl-tRNA synthetase genes and some amino acid biosynthetic genes usually in Gram-positive bacteria. Lineage: Bacteria; Bacillati; Bacillota; Bacilli; Caryophanales; Listeriaceae. The record is from RNAcentral.